CCUGUAUACAAAGAUAUUACAAAGGUAAUAAAACAUUCUGUACAAUAAAAGGUAUUUUAACAUUUUAAGAACUAUUGCAUAUUGAUACAAAUCUUAACUUUAAAUAAUUUAACAGUGAGAACUUUUAAAAAUCAUUUUCAUCAUUCCCUUUAAAUUUGUUCAUCAUUAAGAAGCAUAAAAAAAUUGGAUUUUCUAUUCUAUUGGAAUCUGUAUUCAUUGUGCCAUGUAUUUGUACACUGAGCCACAACCUUGCCCGCUUUUUUAUUUUGAGACAGUUUCUAAGUUGCUGUUUUCCUCCCUGAGCUUCCCAGAGUGCUGAGACUACAAGUGUAUGGCACCACAUUCAACCUAAAUGCAGUGGUUACCUUAAAAGAAAAAACACAUUUUUGGGCCGGGAAUUUAGCUCAGUGGCACCGCAUCUGCCUGGCAAGAACAAGGUCCUGAGUUCGAUUCCUGAUACUGAAAAAAAUACAUUAAAAAAUACAUUUUUAUCUUGUUUGUUAAAAGGGAUAGUGGGACCAUGAGUGGUUUUUUUUGCAUGCAUGAAAAAAUGUAGAUAUGGUUACUUUUGAGAUUUGAUCUUAUCCACUAUUAAAGUGUUUGCUUUAAAUUUUAUGAUACAUUAGUUAAAAUACUCAUUUGACUAAGUCUAAAGAGGUACAAGCAACCCAUACAUUUAUCCCUGACUACUUAUUCCUGGGCUUAUGAUAAGUAGCAUAAAAUUUUCUAUAUUUGUGGUAUGAAAAAAAUUCUAAUUUUCCCCUUUCAUAUUCAACCUCAGGAAAAAAUCAGAAACCUUUCAGUGGAAACUUCAUUAGAAUCAAAGUACCCCUAAUUCAUAAUCAACUCUGGCACAGAGAUUAGGAUCACAGAAUUUCAAAAGUAAAUUCAAUAAUUGGCAUUAUCUUCAAUAGGAAAGAAUUCUGCAAAGAAUAAGGCCAAAAGAAGGUUCUCCAGAUUUGGGCAAUAGCUAGUCAAUCUAAAGAGAAACCCACUUCAGGCUCUUACCAAACCAUCUAAUCCACAGUGAUUUUUCUCUCCUGGGAUUAGAUAAUCAGGGGUGUCUGGAUUAGAGAUUAAUCAGAGCGAAGUGACAUACACAAAUGUUGGUUUAUUAUAUUUUACACUAUGAAAUUUACAGUGUUUCUUCUUAGACAUUAUUUAGUACAAAACAAACUAUGAGGUAGGAAGGUUGGGUAUUAUCUGACUAAAAAUAGUCCCCAUUCUCUUUUGUUUCUCCAUGCUGUUUAACAAACAAUAUGUGGUAAUCUUUCAAUAAAUCAAUCUCUGAUAAAAAAUUAUGUGCUACUAGGCAACCUGGAUUACCAAUUCUAAGUCUCAGCAUGGACAAUAGAAUUAGUUUUCCUGAAGGAUUAGGUUAAAAAUUGACAACCUAGCCAUUUCUGUACAUAAAGAUCAUGACUAGACAGACCCAGUUACCAAUUUAAAAGGCCACUUUAAGAUAGCAGGUUCUGAUGAUAGAAAUCAGAACAGUGCUUCAGAGGUACAGAUUGGGCAAUGGUCUGAGGGAAAUUUCUAGGAUAAUUAUUACAUGAAUAUUUACAUACAUAAAAAUUCUUCAAGCUAUACACUUAAAAUAGGUCUACUUUAAGCAGUGGACUUUACAUGUGUUAUUCCUCAAAAAGGACAUCUUUGAGAGCAAGAGUUUAAUCUCAUUCACCUGUAUCAUUUCCUGCUUUGGACAUUAGACAUUCAAAAAACGUGAUACAUGUUUUAUCAUACAAAUACUGGAGCAUCUGUACAGAGGUAAGGUUAUCAAGGAAGUGCAUGAGGGAUACUUAAGAUUAAACCUGCUACAUAUAGAGGAGAGCUAGCUAUGUCAAAGGUAUGAAAUAAUCCUAAUAACUAGAAUUUAUACCUAAAACAUGGCACUACCAUUUUCAAUAGAG
Heterocephalus glaber (naked mole-rat) is the source of this 1910-nucleotide long non-coding RNA. The record is from Ensembl. NCBI's taxonomy places the organism in Eukaryota, Metazoa, Chordata, Mammalia, Rodentia, Bathyergidae.